Molecule: ribosomal RNA, 300 nt
Filed under: uncultured Microbacterium sp.
Lineage: Bacteria; Bacillati; Actinomycetota; Actinomycetes; Micrococcales; Microbacteriaceae
Description: bacterial SSU rRNA
Rfam family: Bacterial small subunit ribosomal RNA
Source: RNAcentral
ACGUGAGCAAUCUGCCCCUGACUCUGGGAUAAGCGCUGGAAACGGCGUCUAAUACCGGAUACGAGCUGCGAAGGCAUCUUCAGCAGCUGGAAAGAACUUCGGUCAGGGAUGAGCUCGCGGCCUAUCAGCUAGUUGGUGAGGUAAUGGCUCACCAAGGCGUCGACGGGUAGCCGGCCUGAGAGGGUGACCGGCCACACUGGGACUGAGACACGGCCCAGACUCCUACGGGAGGCAGCAGUGGGGAAUAUUGCACAAUGGGCGCAAGCCUGAUGCAGCAACGCCGCGUGAGGGACGACGGCC